UCUCUCUGAAUCUGCGAACGGCUCCGCAAACCAGUUGUAAACUAUAGCAAGCAUGCUCGGGAUUUGGCCCUCGCGGGUUGGGUUUCGGGUGAUAAGGAUAACCCUGGUAAUUCUGAGGCUAAUACUAGAACGCAAAAACUUGCUGACCGGUUUUACUGGGAGGUUGGGGGCGUGCAAGUGGGUUUCGAGGAUAACCGGGAAGGGGUGCACGUUUGGACCGCGAUAAAGACAGACUGUUCGGCCGGCCUGAGCGGCACUUGCGUUGUGCUUCUGACCUAUCAACUAGAUGGCAGCGUAACGGACAUGCUAUGGUUGCAACGGGUACAGAGGAUUAGGGUUCGAUCCUGGAGAGUGGGCCUGAGAGAUU
This 367-nucleotide ribosomal RNA is filed under the name uncultured myxomycete. RNAcentral describes it as "SSU rRNA". It matches the Rfam family "Eukaryotic small subunit ribosomal RNA", at positions 76 to 405 of the family's 1831-position model. The record is from RNAcentral. Lineage: Eukaryota; Evosea; Eumycetozoa.